This 450-nucleotide ribosomal RNA is filed under the name uncultured bacterium. RNAcentral describes it as "partial 16S ribosomal RNA". It matches the Rfam family "Bacterial small subunit ribosomal RNA", at positions 354 to 796 of the family's 1533-position model. The record is from RNAcentral.
GUGGGGAAUAUUGGACAAUGGGCGAAAGCCUGAUCCAGCCAUGCCGCGUGUGUGAAGAAGGUCUUCGGAUUGUAAAGCACUUUAAGUUGGGAGGAAGGGCAGUAAGUUAAUACCUUGCUGUUUUGACGUUACCGACAGAAUAAGCACCGGCUAACUUCGUGCCAGCAGCCGCGGUAAUACGAAGGGUGCAAGCGUUAAUCGGAAUUACUGGGCGUAAAGCGCGCGUAGGUGGUUUUGUAAGUUGGAGGUGAAAUCCCCGGGCUCAACCUGGGAACUGCCUCCAAAACUGCAUGACUAGAGUACGGUAGAGGGUAGUGGAAUUUCCUGUGUAGCGGUGAAAUGCGUAGAUAUAGGAAGGAACACCAGUGGCGAAGGCGACUACCUGGAUUGAUACUGACACUGAGGUGCGAAAGCGUGGGGAGCAAACAGGAUUAGAAACCCGAGUAGUAC